Small nucleolar RNA from Sorex fumeus (smoky shrew), 134 nucleotides. The record is from RefSeq and is a predicted model, not a curated record. Lineage: Eukaryota; Metazoa; Chordata; Mammalia; Eulipotyphla; Soricidae.
UCUCAAACUCUAUCACUAACUGCAUCAUAUUGCAGAUAUAAAGGGAACCAGGUUCGUGCUAAAGUAACUGCAGUGAAUAGAAACAGACUAACUUCAGAUCCUACAGAGGAAGACUAUUCUAUUCUAGUACUGGG